GACGAACGCUGGCGGCGUGCUUAACACAUGCAAGUCGAACGGAAAGGCCCUGCUUUUGUGGGGUGCUCGAUUGGCGAACGGGUGAGUAACACGUGAGUAACCUGCCCUUGACUUUGGGAUAACUUCAGGAAACUGGGGCUCAUACCGCAUAUGAGCUCCUGCUGCAUGGUGUUGGUUGGUAAGUUUCGGCGGUUCGGGCUGUACUCGCGGCUUAUGCGCUUGUUUGUCGGGUAGUUGCUUACCAAGGGUUUGACGGGUAGGCGGCCUGAGAGGGGGAACGGGCACAUUGGGACUGAGAGACGGAGCAGACGCCUACGGGAGGCAGCAGGGGGGAGUAUUGCACAAUGGGGGGAAGGGUGAGGCAACAACGCCGGGUGCGGGAAGCCGGGCUUCGGGGUGUAAACCGAUUUGGCCUGAGACGAAGAGAGAGUGACGGUAAUGGGUAAAGAAGCACCGGCUAACUACGUG
Molecule: ribosomal RNA, 468 nt
Filed under: uncultured bacterium
Lineage: Bacteria
Description: partial 16S ribosomal RNA
Rfam family: Bacterial small subunit ribosomal RNA
Source: RNAcentral